RNAcentral lists this ribosomal RNA (257 nucleotides) under uncultured bacterium. RNAcentral's name for it is "partial 16S ribosomal RNA". It matches the Rfam family "Bacterial small subunit ribosomal RNA", at positions 524 to 776 of the family's 1533-position model. The record is from RNAcentral.
UACGUAGGGGGCGAGCGCUGUCCGGAGUUACUAGGGCGUAAAGGGCAUGCAGGCGGUCGGACGCGUUUCGGGUGACAGCGGGUGGCUUAACUACCCGAGCGGUCGAAAGACGGUUUGACUUGGAGGACGCGAGAGGGACACGGAAUUCCGGGUGGAGUGGUGAAAUGCGGUAGAGAUCCGGAGGAACACCGAAGGCGAAGGCAGUGUCCUGGCGCGUAACUGACGCUGAGGUGGCGAAAGCCAGGGGAGCGAACGGG